CCUACUGGUGGCAGCAGUGAGGAAUAUUGGUCAAUGGACGCGAGUCUGAACCAGCCAAGUAGCGUGAAGGAUGACUGCCCUACGGGUUGUAAACUUCUUUUAUAUGGGAAUAAAGUGAGGCUCGUGUGCCCUUUUGUAUGUACUAUAUGAAUAAGGAUCGGCUAACUCCGUGCCAGCAGCCGCGGGAAUACGGAGGCUCCGAGCGUUUUCCGGAUUUAUUGGGUUUAAAGGGAGCGCAGAUGGGUUGUUAAGUCAGUUGUGAAAGUUUGCGGUUCAACCGUAAAAUUGCAAUUGAUACUGGCAGUCUUGAGUGCAGAUGAGGUGGGCGGAAUUCGUGGUGUAGCGGUGAAAUGCUUAGAUAUCACGAAGAACUCCGAUUGCGAAGGCAGCUUACUGGACUGCAACUGACACUGAGGCUCGAAAGUGUGGGUAUCAAACAGGAUUAGAUACCCGAGUAGUC
Molecule: ribosomal RNA, 460 nt
Filed under: uncultured bacterium
Lineage: Bacteria
Description: partial 16S ribosomal RNA
Rfam family: Bacterial small subunit ribosomal RNA
Source: RNAcentral